ACCAAGAUAGCUUAAUAUUCAAAGCCUCGGUCUUGUAAGUCGAAAAUGUGUCCUCAUCACACUCUUGGUA
This 70-nucleotide transfer RNA is filed under the name Orbinia latreillii. RNAcentral's name for it is "tRNA-Thr". It matches the Rfam family "tRNA". Rfam says of the family: Transfer RNA (tRNA) molecules are approximately 80 nucleotides in length. The record is from RNAcentral. Lineage: Eukaryota; Metazoa; Annelida; Polychaeta; Orbiniidae.